UCUGAUAGCGCAAUGGUUUAGAAAUUAUACGCUUCGGCCUCUCCAUCUGUAAAUCCCUUGUCAAGUGCAAUUCAAUCAAGAAUGGAUUAUCAAAAGAUGUUACAAUAUAUUUAAAGAGGAGAAAUUCAAACAUCAAAGUGAGUUAUUAAGCAAAUUAUCGCGAGGAACAUAGAA
This is a long non-coding RNA of Formica exsecta, 174 nucleotides long. RefSeq lists it as uncharacterized. NCBI's taxonomy places the organism in Eukaryota, Metazoa, Arthropoda, Insecta, Hymenoptera, Formicidae. The record is from RefSeq and is a predicted model, not a curated record. The transcript has 2 exons.